GAGGAGGAAGGAAGGGACAUAAGGGAUACUAUGGUGAUAUAAGAAACAGAAAAUAUCAAUAAAACUUACUGGAAAAAAAUAGGGGCUUCUCAUUUGGCUAUUUGACUUCCUUUGGUGCUAGGUUCAUUGCUUCACUAAAUGAUCUCUUGGUUUUUAAGGUUGGCUGGUCAGACACACUGAUUAAAUGAUGCCAUGUGACCACAAUUACUCCAUUUACCAGCAGUACCAGAGCUCAGAAGGGGAGGCUUACUUGUAUGAUAACCACACAGUAGAGACUUGAAAAAUUUGAGUGUCCUACACUUAGGCAAAUACAUCUGUCUAGUUAAGUAAAAGUUUGUGUGCAGGUUUUGAUGACUCUGUCCUGGCAUGAUGAUUUGCAUUUGUGGUGAUACCUUGUCUUGCAUGUUUUCAGAAGAAAAGCAGAAAGGAAGCUGAAAAAUUCCCUGGGAUAGAAGUGAUGACAUUAAGACCAAAAUUGAUUUCCAAUGCCGUUUCUUCCUCAAUGCUAUGACUUAAAACGUCAAGACUCAGUCUAGAGAUGAUCAUAAUAAAAGAUCCCUAGGUUUCAGAUCUGGAUAUCAUAAAGGAAAAAAAUGUACGUCCAGAGAAGGAGGUGGGCUAACUAUGUGGUACAAAUGAGGAGGUAACAAAUGGUUGGCCAAAGGUGCUGCACCGGGACCUACUCAAUGUCCAGCACAGUGGGUAAAAUUUCUUUGGAAGGCUUAUGGAAAAUACAUACAGGAACAGCACAAGAUGAGGUGGUGUGAAUGAGUUAGGUCACACCAGAAAAUGGACACGAUGAAAUCAUGGAUCCAAUGUUGUCUUCUCAGACUUUAACUAAAUACAUGAGGGUAUUCUGCUUUGCCCACGUGGGAUCUUUGUGCUCCUAACACUCAUGCUUUGUCAUCUGCUUCUAUCAUUUCAAGCAGCUCAUUAGUUAUUCAUCCUUUGGAACUUACAUCCUGUCUCAUUCCCACUGACCACAUAAAUCUGACUUACCCUUUCAUGAAGGAAAUACCCAUAUUUUGCUUUAUGGCAUGUGUUCUAAUAUUAUGUUGCUAUGACUUGUCUUCUAGUAGAGACAGGCUGCUUUGUCUGGCCACAGACUCAAUAAUUCCCAAGACCUUGCCCCCAAACAUCUAGAAUCUUUGUUUACUUGCUAUGGAAAUUUAGAUAAAUUAAAACAGGGAAAGGCCAUUUGGUAUCAUGUUUGCUCCACCACAGGCAAUAGUCCAUUUGAUUCAUUUCAACUCAACAAACAUUUAUUAAGUAUCUACAGUGUGUUUGGUGCAGCAGAUACGAAGACAAAAUAGUCACCCAAAGAGAGUUUAGAUUUUUCUGGAGGUAUUACUUUGACAUAAUGGGGAUCAGUGGAUAACUUAUUAGUUGCUGAAAGCAAUCCAGCUCACUGUUUCCUUCUUGAGAAAACAACAUUUCAAGAAAAAAAAACUUAAUAAGUGUCCUAAAUUCCUGGUAUGAUUAAAAAAACUAGCAGUCUGUUCCUGGAAUCCUCUUUAGUCAUGAGCAGUUCUGUUGUUAUCUUAUUGCCUCACUGGCUCUCUAAAAGAAUCAGGCUUUCCCUUCUUUAUUCUGUCUCUUUUCCAUAUCUUGGAGGCCAUACUGUCUUCUGUACUGAGUUCCCUAGAAACUAGAAACAUUUGCAUUGUUUGUUUUAACCUCUUGUGCAAUCCUUCCUGCUGUUGGAAAAGUUCUGAUUCAGUCUGUAAUAGCCAUAAUAAAUAAGGUUAAUAUUGCAUCA
Long non-coding RNA from Phascolarctos cinereus (koala), 1759 nucleotides. RefSeq lists it as uncharacterized. NCBI's taxonomy places the organism in Eukaryota, Metazoa, Chordata, Mammalia, Diprotodontia, Phascolarctidae. The record is from RefSeq and is a predicted model, not a curated record.